Molecule: long non-coding RNA, 546 nt
Filed under: Homo sapiens (human)
Lineage: Eukaryota; Metazoa; Chordata; Mammalia; Primates; Hominidae
Description: non-protein coding lnc-PDE6B-1:7
Source: RNAcentral
GGUGUGUGCAUGUGUGUGCGCGCGCGUGUGUGCGGGGUGUGCCGUGAGCGUGUGCCCGCGGUUCGGGGGAUGAGUAGGGGCGCUGACUUUUAGGACCAGCCAUUUGAGUCAAGCUGGAGACGACGUCUUAGAACCUAGGAUGAGUCUCGUUUGGUUUUAGUCUGCAAAGCUCGUCUGCAUCAGACAGGAAUUUUCCCCAGACGCGGGUGCACGUGAAUUAAUUCAUCAGAAGGCGGUUCACGGCCUGAGUGAGGGGGACGAGGGCGGCGAAUUCCUCCGCCUCAUUCCUACCCUGACGAUUCGAGCCUGUUAAUAUGAUGAAUUACACUGAUUCAGUUUCAAAUGUCCAACCAAGCUUGCACUCCAGAGAUGAAGCCCACUUGAUCACAUGGAUUAUUCUUUUAAUAUAUGAUGGAUACGACUUGGCUGUUCUUUUGUUGAGGAUUUUUGUGUUUAUGUUAAUGAGGAUAUUAUUUGUAGUUUUCUUUUCUUGUAAUGUUUUUGUCUUUGUUCAGUGUCAGAGUAAUGCCAACUUCAUAAAGUGAG